GUCCCGCCUGGCGUCUCCCUUGGCACGUGUCGGUGCCUGCUGUGUGCACCAAGCAGGUUUCACAUCGGUUUAAUUUCUUAAUCAAAACGCCACGUGAUACCGAGUCAAAAGUCUUCCAGGAAGUGGUGUCUUACGUCCGCCCUGUUGUCUUUCUCCACCAAACCUGUAGUCUCAUCAGAGAGCGUUUUAGUCCAAAAAGGUCUGUUUUCCGUAGCCUCGCGGGCACGUGUCGGUGCCUGCUGUGUGCACCAAGCAGGUUUCACAUCGGUUUAAUUUCUUAAUCAAAACGCCACGUGAUACCGAGUCAAAAGUCUUCCAGGAAGUGGUGUCUUACGUCCGCCCUGUUGUCUUUCUCCACCAAACCUGUAGUCUCAUCAGAGAGCGUUUUAGUCCAAAAAGGUCUGUUUUCCGUAGCCUCGCGUUGGACCAUCCGCAUUGUCCUUCUUCCGCCGGCGUCCUGCGGCAGACGUCCCUAACCGGGUCCGGGGCGGGUGCCGUGCCGCGGUGCGCGCCCCCCAGCUCGUCCCUCCAGCUCCACUCCCCUGGCAUUUCCUUGAAGCCUAGUUUUUCCUGCAGUGCAGCCUGGCAGCUUAGUGGUUUCUUGACUCACUCUUUGAAACUCUGGCACAAGAUGUCUGGAUGUGUUGAUUUCUGGCAAGGUCUAACUUUAGUUACUGCAGUAAAACUUCACCCAUGUCGGAAUGGGAAGCUUAUCGUUGUAUGAUAUAAAUACAUCUGACUGGUUCCUAAAAUACAUUCAGGGGAUACAUCUGCCGCCUCCUGCAUUAUUGCUGACAGCGUUAUGUUCAGCUAGCCCCGGACUUGUUCUUUUCAUUCUUAAGGUGUUUGAAAAGUGCCCAGGACUGCUGCCUGAGAACUAUCCUUGCGAUUCCCGUAUUGGCUUUCUGCCCAUCCUGCUGCUCCUAGGCCAACUCCUGGACUGUGGUGAGCUCUUCCUGGCCUUUGCGCCCUCCUUGGUCGUGAGACGGUCGCGGGCAUCUGCUGCGCCUCCCGGAGCAGUCCCCGGCGCUCUCGGCUCCUGAUGUGACUCAGGCGAGCUUUGCGCCGCUGCUUGUGAAGCUGCAGGUUUGCGCGUGCCGGCCGCGUCCUACAGAGCAGCCAGAUCGCGGUGAGGCGCGUGCGAGGCGUUGGGCUGCCCACGGCGAGGGCACGUGCCCUGGUGAGCAGAGCUUGGAGCCGUGCCGCCGGCCUGGGCCUGUCUCGGCAGAGGUCCCUG
RNAcentral lists this long non-coding RNA (1237 nucleotides) under Struthio camelus australis. RNAcentral describes it as "lncRNA (ENSSCUG00000004461.1)". Lineage: Eukaryota; Metazoa; Chordata; Aves; Struthioniformes; Struthionidae. The record is from RNAcentral.